RNAcentral lists this ribosomal RNA (422 nucleotides) under uncultured Glomeraceae. Its description in RNAcentral is "SSU rRNA". It matches the Rfam family "Eukaryotic small subunit ribosomal RNA", at positions 459 to 886 of the family's 1831-position model. The record is from RNAcentral. Lineage: Eukaryota; Fungi; Glomeromycota; Glomeromycetes; Glomerales; Glomeraceae.
GGGAGGUAGUGACAAUAAAUAACAAUACGGGGUUCUUUCGGAUUUCGUAAUUGGAAUGAGUACAAUUUAAAUCUCUUAACGAGGAACAAUUGGAGGGCAAGUCUGGUGCCAGCAGCCGCGGUAAUUCCAGCUCCAAUAGCGUAUAUUAAAGUUGUUGCAGUUAAAAAGCUCGUAGUUGAAUUUCGGGAUCAAUAUGUCGGUCGUACCUUCGGUACGUACUGGUAUCAUUGGUUUCUCCCUUCUGACAAACCAUGAUGUCAUUAAUUUGGUGUUAUGGGGAGUUAGGACUGUUACUUUGAAAAAUUAGAGUGUUUAAAGCAGGCAUUAGCUUGAAUACAUUAGCAUGGAAUAAUGAAAUAGGACGUUUGACCCUAUUUUGUUGGUUUCUAGGAUCGACGUAAUGAUUAAUAGGGAUAGUUGGG